Molecule: long non-coding RNA, 603 nt
Organism: Salvelinus sp. IW2-2015
Lineage: Eukaryota; Metazoa; Chordata; Actinopteri; Salmoniformes; Salmonidae
Source: RefSeq, a predicted model, not a curated record
GUCAGGAUGGCUGGAGUGUGACUUACACCACUCAGAGUAUCUGUACCUUGAAGGGGUCAUCAGUGGASCUGWCCUGCUCUUACACAUAUCCCAGUGGUACAGUCACAAAAACCUUCUGGUUCACUAAAAAUGAUGCUGAGGGGAAUCCUGUGAGUCUGAGUGAUGAUGCAGACUAUACAGCUCGUGUGACGUAUCAUAAAGAUAACAAGAAUGACUGCACUCUGACAAUCACAGACCUGAGAGAGAGUGACUCAGCUACGUACAAGUUCAGAUUUAUAACAGAUCAGAUCGGAGGGAGAUUUACUGGCAACCCUGGAGUCACUCUGUCUGUCACAGAUCUGCAGGUGAAGGUGACUCCUUAUUCAGUUUUAUCAGCGUGGAAGACACUGACCUGCACCACCUGUGUUCUGACUGGUAACCCCACCUACACCUGGUACAAGAACGGACAGAUAGUAACUGACAACACUUCUCCCUAUUCAGUCUACCCUGAUGCUGCAGACAGUUACUCCUGYGCUGUAAAAGCCAAUGAGGAUCUCCACUCUCCUGCAGUGUGUGUUCAGGAUCAGAGCUGCAACAGAGUAACUUAUAUUGACAAGAGUAUCU